RNAcentral lists this unclassified non-coding RNA (405 nucleotides) under soil metagenome. Its description in RNAcentral is "partial contains 5.8S ribosomal RNA, internal transcribed spacer 2, and large subunit ribosomal RNA". The stretch from base 1 to 121 matches the Rfam family "5.8S ribosomal RNA", at positions 35 to 154 of the family's 154-position model. The record is from RNAcentral.
GAUGAAGAACGCAGCGAAAUGCGAUAAGUAAUGUGAAUUGCAGAAUUCAGUGAAUCAUCGAAUCUUUGAACGCACCUUGCGCCCUUUGGACAUUCCGAAGGGCAUGCCUGUUUGAGUAUCAUGAACACCUCAACUCUCACGGCUUGUCCGUGAUGAGCUUGGACUUUGGGGGUAUUGCCGGCCUGUGGUCGGCUCCUCUCAAAUGGAUCAGCUUGCCAGUGUUUGGUGGCAUCACAGGUGUGAUAACUAUCUGCGCUUGUGGUUUUCCAUCAGAUAACCUUCAGUGAUAUGGAGGUUCGCUGGAGCUCACAAAUGUCUCUCCUUAGUGAGGACAGCUCUUUGAACGUUUGAUCUCAAAUCAGGUAGGACUACCCGCUGAACUUAAGCAUAUCAAUAAGCGGAGGA